ACUAUGCUUGGCCCUAAACCUCAGUAGUUAGAUAACAAAACUACUCGCCAGAAUACUACAAGCAACAGCUUAAAACUCAAAGGACUUGACGGUGCUUUACAUCCCCCUAGAGGAGCCUGUUCCAUAAUCGAUAAACCCCGAUCCACCCCACCCUCUCUUGCUCAGCCUAUAUACCGCCAUCUUCAGCAAACCCUAAUGAAGGCUACAAAGUGAGCGCAAACGCCACUGCCGCGAAUACGUUAGGUCAAGGUGUAGCCCAUGAGACGGUAAAAAAUGGGCUACAUUUUCUAUUUCAGAAAACCCCCACGAAAACCCUUAUGAAACUUAAGGGUCCAAGGAGGAUUUAGCAGUAAAUUAAGAAUAGAGUGCUUAAUUGAACCAGGCCAUAAAGCGCGCACACACCGCCCGUCACUCCUCUCAAAUAUAUUUAAGGAAUAUCCUAACUAAACGCCCUAACAUUUAUAUAGAGAGGAUAAGUCGUAACAUGGUAAGCGUACUGGAAGGUGCGCUUGGAUAAAU
This 519-nucleotide ribosomal RNA is filed under the name Macaca fascicularis (crab-eating macaque). Its description in RNAcentral is "partial 12S ribosomal RNA". It matches the Rfam family "Bacterial small subunit ribosomal RNA", at positions 789 to 1533 of the family's 1533-position model. The record is from RNAcentral. Lineage: Eukaryota; Metazoa; Chordata; Mammalia; Primates; Cercopithecidae.